Molecule: ribosomal RNA, 497 nt
Filed under: uncultured bacterium
Lineage: Bacteria
Description: partial 16S ribosomal RNA
Rfam family: Bacterial small subunit ribosomal RNA
Source: RNAcentral
GAUGAACGCUGGCGGCGUGCCUAAUACAUGCCAGUCGAGCGAACAGACGAGGAGCUUGCUCCUCUGACGUUAGCGGCGGACGGGUGAGUAACACGUGGAUAACCUACCUAUAAGACUGGGAUAACUUCGGGAAACCGGAGCUAAUACCGGAUAAUAUAUUGAACCGCAUGGUUCAAUAGUGAAAGACGGUUUUGCUGUCACUUAUAGAUGGAUCCGCGCCGCAUUAGCUAGUUGGUAAGGUAACGGCUUACCAAGGCAACGAUGCGUAGCCGACCUGAGAGGGUGAUCGGCCACACUGGAACUGAGACACGGUCCAGACUCCUACGGGAGGCAGCAGUAGGGAAUCUUCCGCAAUGGGCGAAAGCCUGACGGAGCAACGCCGCGUGAGUGAUGAAGGUCUUCGGAUCGUAAAACUCUGUUAUUAGGGAAGAGCAAAUGUGUAAGUAACUAUGCACGUCUUGACGGUACCUAAUCAGAAAGCCACGGCUAACUACGUG